Molecule: long non-coding RNA, 742 nt
Filed under: Homo sapiens (human)
Lineage: Eukaryota; Metazoa; Chordata; Mammalia; Primates; Hominidae
Description: non-protein coding lnc-CCNJ-1:21
Source: RNAcentral
AUUCCCAGUCAGCAAGGGCUUGGGAAGUGCAUACAGUUCCUGCUCCUGGUGUCUACUCUGAAGAGCACAGAGUAGACGUUUGUCUGCCAUUUCACCGGCAGUAAGAUCAGCAGCUGCUGGUGAGCAAAGAGGUAGUAGUGGGUCACUGGACUGGUGGGCGCCGGGGCCGCGCGCUAGAUGGAGAGGUCAGCGGCGAACCCAGCUCCAUGGCCUAGUCUCGUCAGACCGAGCGCGGACCCUGCCGGCCUCCGUUCUCUUCCGCUUGUCUCAGAUAUCAUCUCUUCUUUUGAUCACUGUUCCUGAUUGUGACAUUGUGCAAGUGUUAAAUUGUGUGCCUUUUGUUCCUGAAGAAAGAGGUCCUGGGAUCUUUGAAAUGCUAAGAUUCUUGGAUACCACAGUAUCAUAAAAUUCCUCUAAAUGCAUUGGUGCUAGCAAUCCCCUACUCUGUCUGGCCUCUGGAUCUAGCUUGAAGUUCUGGAUUCAUUUCCUUCUUCCUUGUACCUCAGCCUGAGCCUUCUGUCACCCAAAGGGCUCCAGCUGGUUUUUCACUCAGGCCUCACUUUAUCUUCCAAGAUGAAGGAACUGAGACACAGAGGUUGAGACUUGUCUAAAGUAACAUGACCAGUAAGUGCUUGAAUUAAUGCAGAUGAGGAAACUGAGGUCCAGAGAAGUUGAAGUUUUCCCAAGGUCACACAGCAGAGCUGGAACUAGAGCUUGCAUUUCCUGACUUCCAGAUUAGUGU